AAAAGAAUUCAUUUUUGGCUCAACUAACCAAGGAAUUAUUUGCUUUAUGACUUUAUCAUGAAAGAAACAAAGAACUGGCAGAAACUUUGAAACUCCAGUUGUUCUUUAGUAUAAUCCAGGAUAAAAUUCUCAGGUACAGAUCCUACGCACAGAGACCCCAGGGGUGUGGGCUGUUUCCUUCUUAUAAAUCAUUAUCCUACAAACUUUGCAAGUUGUGAUUGUGUUUGCUCAGCUGUUCCACUGCUUCCACUGGUGUGUGCUGCUGGCAGAGCUGACAGUAAGCUUUUCCCUGGCCCCAUAGCUCUUUGGUUGACCUUAGACCCUUGAUCUCUAAGUGCUUAUAGAGCUUUUAGGCCCCAAAGAGACAUGCUGUUCCAGCUUUACUGUCUCCUCCAAUUGAGGACCUCACGAAACUCCCUCAUCCUUUGGCCAAGAGCUGCUGGAGGUCUGCCCUAAUGGCUCCCCAUUCCUGAGGCAGACAGGUGGUGAGGCCUCCUUACCAUGGGAUAAAGGGUCUUCGAGACGAGACGACCCACCUCUUAUAUCAUUGAUGAGAAACAAGCCUAUGGAGGGAGUUCAUUCGCGGUAGAGCCAACGCAGACCCAGAAUUUCUGGUCUUGAUUUCAUUAUUCUUUCCACUCCAUAAAACAGAGGUGGAGAGGAGAGGCAGGGAGGCAGCAGACAUACCUAAAGGCCACAGGACCACACAGUUCUGGGUGAGGAGGCAGCAAAUCUUGAAGGACCUGAAGACCCACUGGCUUUAGGGCUCCCAGGCAGCUUCCUGCUGUGGAAAUGACCACCAGGAGCCGGGUAGCUUGUCUGCAGGCUGUUCCACGAGCUGCAGCCUUUCCUGACCAGGCCAGGCCACUGUUCAUUUCCCAGGGCCAGGCAUCACUUCUCGGCAAGGAGGGCGACUCUGAAGGAGGGCCCCAUCCCUAGGGCCUAGGAGCUUCCUCUUUGUCACCACUGUCAUCUGCCAGGACCCCAGAACAGAGCUGUGGCUUCAGAGACACAGUGAUGGAUGAGUCGAAGGAGCCGGAACUGAAAUGGGACGUCCUCCCAGACAGGCAGGAGGGGAAGGAGGAGCCACGGGGAGAUGGAGCAGCCACAGCGAGGCAGGAUGUGAACCAGAGCAAGGCUGACUGUGGGAACCUGAGGGCUGUAAGAAAUAGAGUUGAACGUGCCAGACGCUGCAGAAAUCAGAGAGAAAGGCUGCCCUGGGUGUGGAGAGCGAGUCAGAGCUCUGAGGAGACGACUUGAACCUCUGCCUCCUGCUGUGGAGGGACGACUUGAACCUCUGCCUCCCGCUGUGGAGGGACGACUUGAACCUCUGCCUCCCGCUGUGGAGGGACGACUUGAACCUCUGCCUCCUGCUGUCGAGGGACGACUUGAACCUCUGCAGCCCUACAUGCCUGAAACUAGACACCCCAGACGCCCCGGACUUGGGACUUAACAGUUCUCUUUGUGCUUAACCUGUUCGAACUUGCUUCUCAUCUUUGCAACUAAAAGAGUCUUAAAAAUAAUAAAAAUAAUAGUCACUGUAAAUAAUAAUUGUAAAGGAUAAUAACAGUCAUAAAUGCCAUUUGAGUAUAUCCCUAACUUCUGGAUGUACCCCAAUUACAUAUUUUAUUUCUUACAGAAUGUUUUUGUCUGCUCACUGAUUACAGAACAAUAAUAAUAAUUAUUCCAUUCAUGUCUGAUCUCUCUGCCAGCCUGACAACAAUUAUUAGGUUAAGUAAUUUGUCCAAGGAAUAAGGAGCAGAGGUGGGAUCCACACUGGAUCUGUCUGUGUGUGAUAUCUGUGUCUACCGCAGCAGGCCUCCAAUUCCCCUUGGGCUCUGAAUGCUUCUUUGGCAUUACGAUGAAAGUCAGUGAAUAAAUAGGUUACUUCAGCAAAAUUCA
Molecule: non-coding RNA, 1902 nt
Organism: Equus caballus (horse)
Lineage: Eukaryota; Metazoa; Chordata; Mammalia; Perissodactyla; Equidae
Source: RefSeq, a predicted model, not a curated record